CCUACGGGUGGCAGCAGUGGGGAAUCUUGGUCAAUGGGCGCAAGCCUGAUCCAGCCACGCCGCGUGAAGGAUGAAGGCUCUUGGGUUUGUAAACUCCUUUCAUAUGGGAGCAAAAUGUGACGGUACUUGCGGAAUAAGAAUCGGCUAAUAACGUGCCUGCAGCAGCGGUGAUACGGCGGAGGCAAGCGUUCUUCGGAUUUAUUGGGUGUCAUGGGUGCGUAGGCGGGUGCGUAAGUCAGUUGUGAAAGCUAAGGGCUCAACCAUAAGCCUGCAGUUGAAACUGGGUUUCUUGAGUACUGGAGAGGGAAGCGGAAUUCGGGGUGUAGCGGUGAAAUGCGUAGAUAUAGCGAGGAACACCAGUGGCGAAGGCGGGUUACUGGACAGUAACUGACGCUGAGGCGCGAAAGCGUGGGGAGCAAACAGGAUUAGAUACCCCUGUAGUC
Molecule: ribosomal RNA, 443 nt
Filed under: uncultured bacterium
Lineage: Bacteria
Description: partial 16S ribosomal RNA
Rfam family: Bacterial small subunit ribosomal RNA
Source: RNAcentral